UGAGGAAUAUUGGUCAAUGGGCGAGAGUCUGAACCAGCCAAGUAGCGUGCAGGAUGACGGCCCUAUGGGUUGUAAACUGCUUUUAUAAGGGAAUAAAGUGAGUCUCGUGAGACUUUUUGCAUGUACCUUAUGAAUAAGGACCGGCUAAUUCCGUGCCAGCAGCCGCGGUAAUACGGAAGGUCCGGGCGUUAUCCGGAUUUAUUGGGUUUAAAGGGAGCGUAGGCCGGAGAUUAAGCGUGUUGUGAAAUGUAGACGCUCAACGUCUGCACUGCAGCGCGAACUGGUUUCCUUGAGUACGCACAAAGUGGGCGGAAUUCGUGGUGUAGCGGUGAAAUGCUUAGAUAUCACGAAGAACUCCGAUUGCGAAGGCAGCUCACUGGAGCGCAACUGACGCUGAAGCUCGAAAGUGCGGGUAUCGAACAGGAUUAGAUACCCUGGUAGUCCGCACGGUAAACGAUGGAUGCCCGCUGUUGGUCUGAACAGGUCAGCGGCCAAGCGAAAGCAUUAAGCAUCCCACCUGGGGAGUACGCCGGCAACGGUGAAACUCAAAGGAAUUGACGGGGGCCCGCACAAGCGGAGGAACAUGUGGUUUAAUUCGAUGAUACGCGAGGAACCUUACCCGGGCUUGAAUUGCAGAGGAAGGAUUUGGAGACAAUGACGCCCUUCGGGGCCUCUGUGAAGGUGCUGCAUGGUUGUCGUCAGCUCGUGCCGUGAGGUGUCGGCUUAAGUGCCAUAACGAGCGCAACCCCUCUCCUUAGUUGCCAUCAGGUUAAGCUGGGCACUCUGGGGACACUGCCACCGUAAGGUGUGAGGAAGGUGGGGAUGACGUCAAAUCAGCACGGCCCUUACGUCCGGGGCUACACACGUGUUACAAUGGCAGGUACAGAGAGACGGUCCCUUGCAAAAUGGAUCAAAUCCUUAAAGCCUGUCUCAGUUCGGACUGGGGUCUGCAACCCGACCCCACGAAGCUGGAUUCGCUAGUAAUCGCGCAUCAGCCAUGGCGCGGUGAAUACGUUCCC
This 1019-nucleotide ribosomal RNA is filed under the name uncultured bacterium. Its description in RNAcentral is "bacterial SSU rRNA". It matches the Rfam family "Bacterial small subunit ribosomal RNA", at positions 355 to 1375 of the family's 1533-position model. The record is from RNAcentral.